RNAcentral lists this ribosomal RNA (562 nucleotides) under Escherichia coli. Its description in RNAcentral is "partial 23S ribosomal RNA". It matches the Rfam family "Bacterial large subunit ribosomal RNA", at positions 612 to 1174 of the family's 2925-position model. The record is from RNAcentral. Lineage: Bacteria; Pseudomonadati; Pseudomonadota; Gammaproteobacteria; Enterobacterales; Enterobacteriaceae.
AUAAUGGGUCAGCGACUUAUAUUCUGUAGCAAGGUUAACCGAAUAGGGGAGCCGAAGGGAAACCGAGUCUUAACUGGGCGUUAAGUUGCAGGGUAUAGACCCGAAACCCGGUGAUCUAGCCAUGGGCAGGUUGAAGGUUGGGUAACACUAACUGGAGGACCGAACCGACUAAUGUUGAAAAAUUAGCGGAUGACUUGUGGCUGGGGGUGAAAGGCCAAUCAAACCGGGAGAUAGCUGGUUCUCCCCGAAAGCUAUUUAGGUAGCGCCUCGUGAAUUCAUCUCCGGGGGUAGAGCACUGUUUCGGCAAGGGGGUCAUCCCGACUUACCAACCCGAUGCAAACUGCGAAUACCGGAGAAUGUUAUCACGGGAGACACACGGCGGGUGCUAACGUCCGUCGUGAAGAGGGAAACAACCCAGACCGCCAGCUAAGGUCCCAAAGUCAUGGUUAAGUGGGAAACGAUGUGGGAAGGCCCAGACAGCCAGGAUGUUGGCUUAGAAGCAGCCAUCAUUUAAAGAAAGCGUAAUAGCUCACUGGUCGAGUCGGCCUGCGCGGAAGAUGUA